RNAcentral lists this ribosomal RNA (460 nucleotides) under uncultured bacterium. Its description in RNAcentral is "partial 16S ribosomal RNA". It matches the Rfam family "Bacterial small subunit ribosomal RNA", at positions 338 to 795 of the family's 1533-position model. The record is from RNAcentral.
CCUACGGGAGGCAGCAGUGGGGAAUAUUGGUCAAUGGGCGCAAGCCUGAACCAGCAAAGUAGCGUGAAGGAAGACUGCCCUACGAGUUGAAAGCUUCUUUUAUAAAGAAAUAGAGUAAGACACUUGUUCCUUUUUGAAUGUACUUUAUGAAUCAGGAUCGGCCAACACCGUUCCGUCAGCCGCGGUAAUACUGCGGAUCAGAGCGUUAUCGGGAUUUCUUGGGUUUAAAGGGAGCGUAGAUGGGUUGUUAAGUCAGUUUUGAAAGUUUGCGGCUUAACCGUAAAAUUGCCAUUGAUACUGGCAGUCUUGAGUACAGUUGAGGUAGGCGGAAUUCGUGGUGUAGCGGUGAAAUGCUUAGAUAUCACGAAGAACUCCGAUUGCGAAGGCAGCUUACUAAACUGCCACUGACAUUGAUGCUCGAAAGUGUGGGUAUCAAACAGGAUUAGAUACCCGGGUAGUC